UCCGGUAUAGUACAGUUGGCUAGUAUACCUGGAUAUUCUCCAGGGGGCCGGGUUUCGACUCCCCGUACCGGUCAU
This 75-nucleotide transfer RNA is filed under the name Polymyxa betae. RNAcentral describes it as "tRNA-Asn". The record is from RNAcentral. Lineage: Eukaryota; Endomyxa; Phytomyxea; Plasmodiophorida; Plasmodiophoridae.